This is a long non-coding RNA of Populus euphratica (Euphrates poplar), 374 nucleotides long. RefSeq lists it as uncharacterized. Lineage: Eukaryota; Viridiplantae; Streptophyta; Magnoliopsida; Malpighiales; Salicaceae. The transcript has 3 exons. The record is from RefSeq and is a predicted model, not a curated record.
CCGGAAAUGGUACCAUGACAAUGAAAAAGCAUUUACAAGCACAUGCUUUGUAUCAGAGUGCACAGCAUUCAGAGAUAUACAAGUGCAAACCAACAGAUUAUGAAAAUUUAACAUGAUCAACAAGUCAAAAUAUAAUGUCUAAAGACACAAGAAAAAAUGUAAGUUUGAAAAACAAACAUAAAUUGAAAAGGAAAAGAAAAUUUGAAAUCCAGAAAGGCAAGUAGAACAGCAAAGAUCCAUGCAUUAUGCCUCGUAAUUCCAUAAAAGAAAUGAACAACAUAACUCAAAAAGUGUGCCAAUAAGCAAAUAAAUCAAUUAGCGUGUCCUCAUCAUCCUAAAAACUUAGCUCAUAUUUUAAUAAACCAAAAAAAAAA